Molecule: ribosomal RNA, 274 nt
Filed under: uncultured bacterium
Lineage: Bacteria
Description: partial 16S ribosomal RNA
Rfam family: Bacterial small subunit ribosomal RNA
Source: RNAcentral
AUACGGAGGGUGCAAGCGUUAUUCGGAAUCACUGGGCGUAAAGGACGCGUAGGCGGGUUGGCAAGUCAGAUGUGAAAUCCUACAGCUUAACUGUAGAACUGCAUUUGAAACUGCUAACCUAGAGUAUGGGAGGGGGAGAUGGAAUUAGUGGUGUAGGGGUAAAAUCCGUAGAUAUCACUAGGAAUACCGAAAGCGAAGGCGAUCUCAUGGAACAUAACUGACGCUAAGGCGUGAAAGCGUGGGGAGCAAACAGGAUUAGAUACCCUAGUAGUCC